Molecule: ribosomal RNA, 450 nt
Filed under: uncultured bacterium
Lineage: Bacteria
Description: partial 16S ribosomal RNA
Rfam family: Bacterial small subunit ribosomal RNA
Source: RNAcentral
GUGGGGAAUAUUGGACAAUGGGCGCAAGCCUGAUCCAGCCAUACCGCGUGGGUGAAGAAGGCCUUCGGGUUGUAAAGCCCUUUUGUUGGGAAAGAAAUCCUGUCGGUUAAUACCUGGCGGGGAUGACGGUACCCAAAGAAUAAGCACCGGCUAACUUCGUGCCAGCAGCCGCGGUAAUACGAAGGGUGCAAGCGUUACUCGGAAUUAUUGGGCGUAAAGCGUGCGUAGGUGGUGGUUUAAGUCCGUUGUGAAAGCCCUGGGCUCAACCUGGGAAUUGCAGUGGAUACUGGAUCACUAGAGUGUGGUAGAGGGAUGCGGAAUUUCUGGUGUAGCAGUGAAAUGCGUAGAGAUCAGAAGGAACAUCCGUGGCGAAGGCGGCAUCCUGGGCCAACACUGACACUGAGGCACGAAAGCGUGGGGAGCAAACAGGAUUAGAUACCCGUGUAGUCC